Long non-coding RNA from Diceros bicornis minor, 610 nucleotides. RefSeq lists it as uncharacterized. The record is from RefSeq and is a predicted model, not a curated record. The transcript is spliced from 5 exons. Lineage: Eukaryota; Metazoa; Chordata; Mammalia; Perissodactyla; Rhinocerotidae.
GAGUUUACGAUGUGAUUCUCAGAUUUUCUAAUAUCGUCUACAUGGAGUUUCUGGGAGGAAUUUAAUAAAGAACAGUGAGGAUUCAUUCCUUUCAUCUCCUAAGGGGCAGACUGUAAGCCCCACAAAGCAGACACGGACUUGUUCAACACUCCAUAUUGAGAACCCAGAAAAGGAGCACACAGAAGCUGGUGCAAAUGCAGCCCUGGGUACUUAACUCAGGCCUACAGAAAGCUGAACUGAUUGAGGAUCCAGCAGGACAUCAGACAGGAAUUGAAGGUAACCAUGAGGCACUGAAGUUUUUCAGUAAGAGAUCAGGAGCUGAUUUUUAUAUACGUUGUUGAGGACAAUGCACCCAACUUGGAAGAGUUUUAGAAAUGGACAGCAAGUCAGUGAAGCAACUGACCACCAAUUUGGAUGUGGAGAAGAACAGAAGCCGUGGUACUUUAAAGACUUGACUCUUUACAUUCACAAUCUUAGCUCCUUUGGAGUCUAAAGAAUCCUGGUCCAAGUUAACAGUUUUUCAGAGCUGACUGGGGGGAAAAAAAUCUCAGAAUAAAACAUAUCCCAGUUGUCUAACGUUUAUUGUGGACAGUUCUAAAAUUCUCCUUAA